RNAcentral lists this ribosomal RNA (477 nucleotides) under uncultured organism. Its description in RNAcentral is "partial 16S ribosomal RNA". It matches the Rfam family "Bacterial small subunit ribosomal RNA", at positions 331 to 799 of the family's 1533-position model. The record is from RNAcentral.
GUACACUCCUGCGGGAGGCAGCAGUGGGGAAUUUUGGACAAUGGGCGAAAGCCUGAUCCAGCAAUGCCGCGUGAGUGAAGAAGGCCUUCGGGUUGUAAAGCUCUUUUGUCAGGGAAGAAACGGUGAAAGCUAAUAUCUUUUGCUAAUGACGGUACCUGAAGAAUAAGCACCGGCUAACUACGUGCCAGCAGCCGCGGUAAUACGUAGGGUGCAAGCGUUAAUCGGAAUUACUGGGCGUAAAGCGUGCGCAGGCGGUUUUGUAAGUCUGAUGUGAAAUCCCCGGGCUCAACCUGGGAAUUGCAUUGGAGACUGCAAGGCUAGAAUCUGGCAGAGGGGGGUAGAAUUCCACGUGUAGCAGUGAAAUGCGUAGAUAUGUGGAGGAACACCGAUGGCGAAGGCAGCCCCCUGGGUCAAGAUUGACGCUCAUGCACGAAAGCGUGGGGAGCAAACAGGAUUAGAAACCCGUGUAGUCCCAUG